CACGUAGGGUGCGAGCGUUGUCCGGAAUUAUUGGGCGUAAAGAGCUCGUAGGCGGUGUGUCGCGUCGGCCGUGAAAACCUGCAGCUUAACUGUGGGCGUGCGGUCGAUACGGGCAUCACUGGAGUUCGGCAGGGGAGACUGGAAUUCCUGGUGUAGCGGUGAAAUGCGCAGAUAUCGAGAGGAACACCUGCGGCGAAGGCGGGUGGCUGGGCCGACACUGACGCUGAGGCGCGAAAGCCAGGGGAGCGAACGGG
This 254-nucleotide ribosomal RNA is filed under the name uncultured bacterium. Its description in RNAcentral is "partial 16S ribosomal RNA". It matches the Rfam family "Bacterial small subunit ribosomal RNA", at positions 524 to 776 of the family's 1533-position model. The record is from RNAcentral.